UACGGGGGGGGCAAGCGUUGUUCGGAAUUACUGGGCGUAAAGGGUUCGUAGGUGGCUUGCUCAGUCAGACGUGAAAUCCCUCAGCUUAACUGGGGAACUGCGUCUGAUACUGGCGAGCUUGAGUGCAGGAGAGGAACGCGGAAUUCCAGGUGUAGCGGUGAAAUGCGUAGAUAUCUGGAGGAACACCGGUGGCGAAGGCGACAUCCUGGACCGGUAUUGACGCUGAGGCGCGAAAGCCAGGGGAGCAAACGGG
This 253-nucleotide ribosomal RNA is filed under the name uncultured bacterium. RNAcentral's name for it is "partial 16S ribosomal RNA". It matches the Rfam family "Bacterial small subunit ribosomal RNA", at positions 524 to 776 of the family's 1533-position model. The record is from RNAcentral.